UGAGCUGCUAAUUUGGCUUUAUGGGCCUU
This 29-nucleotide small RNA is filed under the name Bombyx mori (domestic silkworm). Its description in RNAcentral is "piRNA piR-bmo-1650133". Lineage: Eukaryota; Metazoa; Arthropoda; Insecta; Lepidoptera; Bombycidae. The record is from RNAcentral.